AACGAACGCUGGCGGCAUGCCUAACACAUGCAAGUCGAACGAGACCUUCGGGUCUAGUGGCGCACGGGUGCGUAACGGGUGGGAACCUGCCCUUAGGUUCGGAAUAACUGCCCGAAAGGGGGGGUAAUACCGGAUAAUGUCUUGGGACCAAAGAUUUAUCGACUUUGGAUGGGCCCGCGUUGGAUUAGCUAGUUGGUAGGGUAAAAGCCUACCAAGGCGACGAUCCAUAGCUGGUCUGAGAGGAUGAUCAGCCACACUGGGACUGAGACACGGCCCAGACUCCUACGGGAGGCAGCAGUGGGGAAUAUUGGACAAUGGGCGAAAGCCUGAUCCAGCAAUGCCGCGUGAGUGAUGAAGGCCUUAGGGUUGUAAAGCUCUUUUACCCGGGAUGAUAAUGACAGUACCGGGAGAAUAAGCUCCGGCUAACUCCGUG
This 433-nucleotide ribosomal RNA is filed under the name uncultured bacterium. RNAcentral's name for it is "partial 16S ribosomal RNA". It matches the Rfam family "Bacterial small subunit ribosomal RNA", at positions 29 to 507 of the family's 1533-position model. The record is from RNAcentral.